This 125-nucleotide ribosomal RNA is filed under the name Salmonella enterica. RNAcentral's name for it is "partial 23S ribosomal RNA". It matches the Rfam family "Bacterial large subunit ribosomal RNA", at positions 2815 to 2925 of the family's 2925-position model. RNAcentral also lists the same sequence under 2 other names. Lineage: Bacteria; Pseudomonadati; Pseudomonadota; Gammaproteobacteria; Enterobacterales; Enterobacteriaceae. The record is from RNAcentral.
GGACUUUAAGUCCACUGAAGGAACGUUGAAGACGACGACGUUGAUAGGCCGGGUGUGUAAGCGCAGCGAUGCGUUGAGCUAACCGGUACUAAUGAACCGUGAGGCUUAACCUUACAACGCCGAAG